GUGGAUUAGAUACCCUGGUAGUCCGCACAGUAAACGAUGUACACUAGGUGUCUGGCCAGAAGGCUGGGUGCCAAAGCAAACGUGAUAAGUGUACCGCCUGGGAAGUAUGCCCGCAAGGGUGAAACUCAAAGGAAUUGACGGGGGCCCGCACAAGCGGUGGAGCAUGUGGUUUAAUUCGAUGAUACGCGAGAAACCUUACCUGGGCUUGACAUAUACUGGAAGCAGCUGGAGACAGUUGCGCGUAGCAAUACGCCGGUAUACAGGUGCUGCAUGGCUGUCGUCAGCU
This 286-nucleotide ribosomal RNA is filed under the name uncultured bacterium. Its description in RNAcentral is "partial 16S ribosomal RNA". It matches the Rfam family "Bacterial small subunit ribosomal RNA", at positions 773 to 1060 of the family's 1533-position model. The record is from RNAcentral.